RNAcentral lists this ribosomal RNA (468 nucleotides) under uncultured bacterium. RNAcentral describes it as "partial 16S ribosomal RNA". It matches the Rfam family "Bacterial small subunit ribosomal RNA", at positions 28 to 507 of the family's 1533-position model. The record is from RNAcentral.
GACGAACGCUGGCGGCGUGCUUAACACAUGCAAGUCGAACGGAAAGGCCCUGCUUUUGUGGGGUGCUCGAGUGGCGAACGGGUGAGUAACACGUGAGUAACCUGCCCUUGACUUUGGGAUAACUUCAGGAAACUGGGGCUAAUACCGGAUAGGAGCUCCUGCUGCAUGGUGGGGGUUGGAAAGUUUCGGCGGUUGGGGAUGGACUCGCGGCUUAUCAGCUUGUGGGUGGGGUAGUGGCUUACCAAGGCUUUGACGGGUAGCCGGCCUGAGAGGGUGACCGGCCACAUUGGGACUGAGAUACGGCCCAGACUCCUACGGGAGGCAGCAGUGGGGAAUAUUGCACAAUGGGCGGAAGCCUGAUGCAGCAACGCCGCGUGCGGGAUGACGGCCUUCGGGUUGUAAACCGCUUUCGCCUGUGACGAUGCGUGAGUGACGGUAAUGGGUAAAGAAGCACCGGCUAACUACGUG